RNAcentral lists this ribosomal RNA (411 nucleotides) under Actinomycetes bacterium. Its description in RNAcentral is "Actinobacteria bacterium partial 16S ribosomal RNA". It matches the Rfam family "Bacterial small subunit ribosomal RNA", at positions 355 to 776 of the family's 1533-position model. Lineage: Bacteria; Bacillati; Actinomycetota; Actinomycetes. The record is from RNAcentral.
UGGGGAAUAUUGCACAAUGGGCGCAAGCCUGAUGCAGCGACGCCGCGUGGGGGAUGACGGCCUUCGGGUUGUAAACUCCUUUCGCUAGGGACGAAGCUUUUUGUGACGGUACCUAGAUAAGAAGCACCGGCUAACUACAUGCCAGCAGCCGCGGUAAUACGUAGGGUGCGAGCGUUGUCCGGAAUUACUGGGCGUAAAGGGCUCGUAGGUGGUUUGUCGCGUCGUCUGUGAAAUUCCGGGGCUUAACUCCGGGCGUGCAGGCGAUACGGGCAUAACUUGAGUACUGUAGGGGUAACUGGAAUUCCUGGUGUAGCGGUGAAAUGCGCAGAUAUCAGGAGGAACACCGAUGGCGAAGGCAGGUUACUGGGCAGUUACUGACGCUGAGGAGCGAAAGCAUGGGUAGCGAACAGG